UUUGACGUUAGCGACAGAAGAAGCACCGGCUAACUCCGUGCCAGCAGCCGCGGUAAUACGGAGGGUGCGAGCGUUAAUCGGAAUUACUGGGCGUAAAGCGCAUGCAGGUGGUUUGUUAAGUUCAGAUGUGAAAGACCCGGGGCGUCAACCUCGGAAUUGCAUUUGAAACUGGCAGACUAGAGUACUGUAGAGGGGGGUAGGAAUUUCAGGUGUAGCGGUGAAAUGCGUAGAGAUCUGAAGGAAUACCGGUGGCGAAGGCGGCCCCCUCGGACAGAUACUGACACUCAGAUGCGAAAGCGUGGGGAGCAAACAGGAUUAGAUACCCUGGUAG
RNAcentral lists this ribosomal RNA (331 nucleotides) under uncultured bacterium. Its description in RNAcentral is "bacterial SSU rRNA". It matches the Rfam family "Bacterial small subunit ribosomal RNA", at positions 468 to 793 of the family's 1533-position model. The record is from RNAcentral.